RNAcentral lists this signal recognition particle RNA (301 nucleotides) under Cucumis melo (muskmelon). Its description in RNAcentral is "Plant signal recognition particle RNA". It matches the Rfam family "Plant signal recognition particle RNA". Lineage: Eukaryota; Viridiplantae; Streptophyta; Magnoliopsida; Cucurbitales; Cucurbitaceae. The record is from Rfam by way of RNAcentral.
CCAGCUCGGUAGUGUGAGCUUGUAACCCAAAUGGGGACAUUAAAGUGGCCGAAUGUUGAUUCGCUCUACCGAGUAGGGUUUGCUGAGACGAUCUCUGGCCUACCCAUUACAAGUAGGGAGUUUUGCCUUGGGCUUUCGGCGUAAUCCAAGAUUCCAUUGCCCCUAAAAAUGGUGGGAACCGCGUCAAGCUGGUUCACAGAGCAGUGUUACCACUUGCUCUCAAUGGUAGAAGGAUUACAGGCCCGUUCUCGAUGGCCUAUCAUUACUCUGUGGGAUGUUCUUAGCCCAAUUAAUCUUUGUU